CCCUACUCCAAAAGACAGUAAAAAUGGUUGGGGGGAAAUACAGUUCCUUUUGACUUCAGAGGCAGUAUUUUCAACCCAUUUUUUUACUUCUUUGAAUGGCCGAUGCCAGGAGCCACCCACUAGGGAUCAGAAGCUGGAGCAACUUGAUUAGUAGCUGUUGGCAGAGGGAAGAGGGGCUGGAAAAGGUUUGCUGAGAGAGUUCUCUGGCUGCUGAUGACAGCUACAGAGCAGCACCAGAUGCAAAUAUUGGCGCAACUUCCUCUGCUAGCAGCAGUACAGAUCUACUGCAAAGGCAGGCUGCCGAGUGUUUCCUUCGUCCAUUAUAGAACUUCUGCUGUCAACAGAAACAGCACUACAUCCCUUGAAGCACUCCCAGCACUUCAUCAAUCAUCUCCUGACUUGAGGCCCCUGGUCUUUCUGUGGCAGCUAGUAAGAAUCAAACCCAUUUUUCAAGGAAAGCUGCUGGAGAGAUAAGCAGACCUGCGUGGCUAAUCGGCUUCAAUUUGUAGUGUGCUUCCAGACAAAGAGAUCAGAUCUGCAAGUCACACCCUCCCCACUUUGAUACCAAACUCUAGUUGGGCAAUAAAA
Molecule: long non-coding RNA, 588 nt
Organism: Hemicordylus capensis (graceful crag lizard)
Lineage: Eukaryota; Metazoa; Chordata; Lepidosauria; Squamata; Cordylidae
Exons: 3
Source: RefSeq, a predicted model, not a curated record